Molecule: non-coding RNA, 383 nt
Organism: Pelobates cultripes (western spadefoot toad)
Lineage: Eukaryota; Metazoa; Chordata; Amphibia; Anura; Pelobatidae
Source: the annotation of a GenBank genome assembly
AAAAAAUAAGAUAAACAAAAAGAUGGAAAUGAAAUUCAUUUUGUGACUAAUGAAUACAAUCUUGUUUGUACAUCUUGUCUGGUUCAUAACCCCCGCUCCAAUAAGUUCUGAUACUACCUAGGCCACAUGCACAGCCUCAUAACCUAUUCUUCAAUUCUAGCACCUUACUCUCCUUUCCCUGUUCCAACAUGUCUCAAGCAGUAUUUUGAUACGGACCUCUGCAAAUGUGACAUAACCUACCCAAAACUAGGUAGAAAUAAAAUAUUCUCUCUAUCUUAAUGCAAACCAAACCUGUAACAACUGCUGAUAGUGCUCUGUGUUUCUGUUUUGUGUAUGAUGAAUGUGUAAUCUUGCUGUAAGAUUGUAUCUGUUGUGUAUUUGAG